UUGACAGCGCCGUGGUGCCCGUGAAAUGUGAUCGUUGUCCCCUAUAAUAGAAGCACGCCGACGACACGGCCGGACCGAAGUCACGCUAAUGUCAACGCGGGAACUCGGAAUUCCCUUUUAAACACGUCCAUUAUCCAGGAGAGCCUGGCCCUGCUGAAGAGGAUCGACGGUCAGGAUAUCCUUCAGAUCUGGAGCCCUGGGUGCAGCAUCAUUUGUGGGUAAGUCAGUCCUCAUUUUCUGAGAUUUUAUCUCCACUGUCAUGGGUCCAAACUAGUUUGAACAUGAGAAAUGAAAAGCAGGAACCAUAAGGCCAUAACGUUCAUUACAUUACAAAUAUCCAGUAAACACUGAAGCUGUGAAGGCAGCUUUAUUUCCCACCUCUGGGUCCUGGUCAUCCUGCAUAGAUUCAGUUUCAUUCAACUCUGGCUUCUCUGUGAAACCUCUUUCCAUUUCAAGGUCAGAAGGAGGUUCACCCUGGCCACCUUGCGUCAUUCCAGUGGUCUCCAUGCAGAAUCCCAUCUGAAUGUCAGCACAAGAGGACUCUGAGAGGACAGCAAAAUUAAAAUUCUAAGAAAACCACAAACCUGAUAGUCUGAACAGAGUAAGGUGAUUUGAGGAUCCCCCACCUUCCUAUCCCCUAAUGCCAAGAUCAUAAUGUUAUUACAUCUCAGUUGUUACAUUUUUAACUAAUCGCAAAAUCUUACAAAGACAAAUAACAUUCAAUGGUCAGUUCACAAAAAAAUAUCUUACUUUUAGUGAAGUCUAAGCAUUCAGAUAAUUUCAGUUCCAUGGUCUGAAGGCUUGAGACCUCUGAGCAAUUUUUUUAUCAUUUUUUAUCAUUUCAACGAUAUCCUUUCCCACUAAAAACUGUUGACGGUGAGGUCUGAAGAUUAUCCCGAGUAGCAGGAACAAUGUUCUUACCUGCUAGAACCUGCUGAUUUCCUUUUUCUAGCUCAUCCCAGUCAAAAGCUUUGCCCAUCUCUGUGACAAUCUCAGCGCUGACGUGUGUGGGGAGGGUGUGCGUCUCUGGGGGGUGUGUGAAGUAGCUGAUCCUUCCCCUGAAUAACAUAACACACGGACAUUAACACAGUGAUAAGAACACUGACUAAAUGUCAUUUGUAGAGCGUGAAAAACCCAGAUUUUUAACCCACCCUGUCCAGUCCAUUAACACACUCUUCGCUGCUUUAUCAGUGUCAGGCAGUCCUCCCUUCCUUAGUUUGCCUUGGCGCCGUGCAAGCAAUGCCAAGAACUCCAGAGCUGUGUGAAAGUCUGGAACUCCGUAGUGCUCCGUGAUCUGUGUGUCCAACAGAAACACUGUAACACUGCAGCAUGCAAAUCGCACGAUCAAGCAACGCUCGCGAUGGUUGUAACGGCAUUACGCACCUCCGCCUUGUUGCAGCGUCGGAGAAUGGCUUCAACUGGUGGAAGGGGAUCCACGAGCUGCUCAAUUUUCACACAGUUACGAAGAAUCAUUGCAGCAUCAGUCGUCGAAGUUGCCAUAACGAUGCCGGGGCAAUCUAGAAGCUUAAUGUGUUUGUCAAGAUGCACCUCUUGAAGGCACCUGAAAUCCAUCACAGCCAUUGGUAAAACAGGAAACAAGCCGGGUUUUGCAGGGGAAUGGUAUCAACAUUUUAACGUGUACAUACUUGGUGACACCAGGAGUGGCUCCAACACUACAUGCUCGGGCCCGUUUGAGACUGUUAAUCAAACUACUCUUGCCCACAUUUGGAAAACCUACAAAAAAUAAACGGCAAAGAAUUAUUUUACGUAGGACAACUUCACGUUAUCCACUAGAAAAACCAGGUGUAUUGCUGGAUGUAAUGCUUACCUACAACACCUACAGUGAUGGCCGUUUUUAUGUCCAGGUUGCGGCAGUAGUUUCCAAGUAGCUUCAUUAAGCAGUCUGCACCAACACAAGCACUGCUACUGAGAAGCUCUGUGGGGGCUUGUGUCACUGGAACAUUACUGCGUUUCUGUCCAAGUCGGGAGGGGGAAAUGGUUUAGUUUUAAUGUGAAAUUAUGUUAUUCUUUAUCUUUAAGAAUUUGGAAUGAGGUUGAGUUAUUUCAGAUUAUCCAAACUUAAAUAUUCAAUUACAUACCAAGUUCCUGGCCUGUUGCUGUGUAGAUGCUUUGAACGCCACGGUGGGAAACUCAUUACGAAGGUACUUGAUCCACUUUUCCACAAUUUCCUUUGACACCAGGUCUAAAAUCGAAUAUAAUACUUUAAAGUCAAGCAUCAAAUACUUCACACAAAACCUGUAAUAUCUGUCCCAUUCCAAUAUACAGAAAUAAAGUCUAAGCUAACUUACCAAUUUUAUUAAGUACUAAAACUAUCUUCUUGUUCCUCCCACUUUGAAUGACUGCCUGCUCCACCUGAGGACACCUGCAGCCCAGAGGGUCACGUGCAUCCAAAACCUCCAAAAUCACGUCUGCAGCCUCAACUACCUUUCGGAAGAAAACGUGUACACAUUAAAUGUGUAAAAUUAAUCCGAUGUGGACCAGUUUGUGGCAUAUGUGGAUUGGCUUCAUACCUUCUUAAAUUCUCUGUAAUAUGCUUUUCUUGAGUUCUCAUUUUCAAAAUUCACAUUCUUCUCCAAACUCUGCAUCUCCGUCUCCUACGGAACAAAAAAAAGGAAGAAAAAAAAAUCACGACCACAGCAAACUGAAAAUACGCAGUGAGUCCAUUAGCACUGAAUAGGCUUAUCUUUACCCUCUGCUCAAACUGUCGCUGUCGCUGCAGGAUGUCAUUCUGAAAGCUUUGCAAAUUUCUGCGCUUCAUCAGCUCUCGUUCUCUGGAGAUUUUUUGCUUCUCUUGGAACUCUUGGAGCUAAUUAGGAAAAGAAUAAUACAAAGGUUUUGUUCACUUCAAGAAAACAACGGGAACGUCAGCUCGGAUAUGAGAAAGCACUUGACAUUCGAAGAUUUACCCUUUGCUUCCUGGUUUCUUCUUGUCUUCUGUGGUUGUUGUUGACGUGAUGCACAGAUGACUGCUCUGUAAUCUUGGUCAACCCUGAUGCAUCACCGUUUCUUCCAUCUUUAGCCUGUCGACAAAAAACAUCCCAAAUAAGAUGUGCAAUAUUUUCCUAUGACCACCGUUGAUUGAAAAGGCCUCACAAAGCAAGCUGUGAAGCUAUAUGGUAAACGUAUCAACACACCAUAUAAGCGAGGCUCUGUGAACACAAUAACCGACAAUACAAGAGAAAAUCAAAUUAAUCUGAUUUGUAAAAGAAUAAACACAGCACGAUGUAGCACAAGAGAUGAUUACCAAGCAUGUAGUGUUUUUAUCACAUGGUCAGUCAUCCAAAUGCGUUUUUUCUAGAGCCUGACCAAUAUGAGAGUAAGCCAAUAUUUGCCAAUCAUAGAUAUAUCAAAAUAAGCUUCUAUGUUGGCUGAUACGACAAAGAUGCUUUGGAUGAUUUAGAAAUGGUGCUAUCACAUAGUUCAUCCGGCUGAACAAGCUCUGACUGCACUGUUUUAGGGCUGCGACUAACGAUUAUUUUCAUUAUCGAUUAUUUUGUCGAUUGUUUUCACGAUUAAUCUAUUAGGUGUUUGAUCCAUAAAAUGGUGAAAAAUGUCAAAUGUGUUUCCCCAAACCACAAGAUGAUAUUUUGUUUCGUCCAGACGGUGAAGAUAAUUAGUUUACCGUCAUAGAGGAGCAAAGAAACCAGAAAAUAUUCACAUUCAAGAAGCUAAAAUCUGAGAAUUUUGACUUUCCCCCCACAAAAACUACUAGAAUCGAUUAAUCGUUUAUCAAAAAAGUUGCAGAUUUAUUCAGUAGUCGAUUACUUAUUUAUUAACUGUUGUAGCUCUAAACUGUUUACAACACUCUCAGUACCGUCUGCGGAUCACGUAGCAGAGCAUCACAGCUCAGCAGACAGUGGUGCCUUAGUUAGUGAUCAAUAACUUUAAUUUUAGAAUUUUAUUUCACUCCCUAAAAUCAGUAUCGGCUCCUGCCACAAUAAUGAAGGCCCGAGUGUGUAGACAGACAGUUCAUCAGCCGGCCUUGAAUUAAACACUGGAUGGAAUUUGGUGAGAAGCAUAAAGUAUGUUUGAUUGUAUCUGAUCUAUAGACACUCUACAACUGUGUGGGCUGCUCAUACAGAUCCGUAGUGCCACAUACUAAUACAGCUGAAUGUUCAUAUAACCCUAUUACCUUGUAGGUGUUUUACAGUCAGAACGAUGUACUGUCAGUGCCUGUGUGUGUGUGUGUGUGUGUGUGUGUGUGUGUGUUAGUGUGUGAGUGUGUUCUCCUUAACAUUAACCUUCAGGGAUUUGCGUGUGACACUGACAUUUGUGGAAAGUAAAAGCUGAGGGCGCGACAGUUAGCCACAGACAACAUUAGCCGCGUUAGCAGCGCUCACCUUACACUUCCCCAGGAAGCCGAGGCGCUUCGCUCGCUUCUGUUCUGUGAAGUGCGACAAACGACACAGUCCGUUCAGAAUCAUCACACACGGCUGUACAAAGAGUGAACACAUUUAGUCUAAACCCGAUGAAGUACAUACUUGCUUUGGACAUUGCUCCGACCAGCGCCCUGCUCUCCCACUUCACGUGUGUGGCAUGAGAGCGUGUAGGCUACGGGCGCACGUGAUGACGCCAUAACAUAACAUCCGGCUACAUGUCAAAAUAAAAGAGCGCUCAAAUUUUGGCCACACCAAUUAAAAAUAAAAUAAUAAUGUAUCAAAACCCCUUUGAUUCACCAAUAACAAAGCACUUUUAAAGUGGGGUCUGUAUCAUUCAUUUAAGAAUUGUGUAUUAUUUAUUAACUAUAGACUUUUUCUAAAUAUAUAGUUUAUCUAUAAAGACUUAGUAUUAAAUAGGCUGUUAUAGUUACAUUUGUUGACCUGCUUAUGUUGCUACAAGAAAAAUUGAGGGAAGUCAUAAGGACACAUCCUCUGCGGACCUUAAAUACCUUAUAUCAAAUUGCAUGGCAAUUCAAUUAUGGUGAAGAUAUUUCACUCAAAAGCAAGAAUGUCCACCUAAUAAUUAGUAAACUACAGUGGCUCUGUGAACACUGUGCUGCAAUGUAAGAAAACACACAGAAAAAGACACACCACAAGCAAAUGAGAAAAAAAUAUUGGCACCAAUUUGGCAAACAGUGGGCAAGAGACGGUUAUACUCUGGACAGGUGAUGACACUGAACAUAGAGGCAACCGCCUCAUUCACAACUACGUUCCAUUUCGAGAAGAGUAACUUCCACAGAUCAGACUAUAGUCUCAAAUGAUGACUCCAAACACAGGUAACCCGGAUGGCCAAAAACCCCAGAGUCAAGCCACUUGAUAUUUGAUAGUCUUCCCUGAAUUAGGUGCAAAUAUAUGUGUAUAUGUUUUUCUAUGUGUGUUCAGCUGUUUCUCUGAAAUCGUCAAGACAGCCUUAUACCUGCAACUGGUAAGAUUAUUGAUAGCCUGGAUUAAACCUGCCUUGAAUUUGAGACCUGCACAUUGAAACAUGAAAACACACCUAUUCAGUAUGGCCCUACUCUGUGUAACUUUUUAGGAAUGUUUUAGUAUUUAACUGUGCUCUAUUUGUCUGUUGUUGUUGUUGUUGUUUAUUGCUCUGUAUUUAUGUCUGGUCUGUUUUUACUGUUGUCCAUCUGUUUUUAUCUUGUAAGGUGUUUUUGAGUAUCCUGAAAGGCGCCCAUAAAUAAAAUGUAUUAUUAUUAUUA
This is a long non-coding RNA of Scophthalmus maximus (turbot), 5662 nucleotides long. RefSeq lists it as uncharacterized. The transcript is spliced from 2 exons. The record is from RefSeq and is a predicted model, not a curated record. NCBI's taxonomy places the organism in Eukaryota, Metazoa, Chordata, Actinopteri, Pleuronectiformes, Scophthalmidae.